Molecule: unclassified non-coding RNA, 304 nt
Filed under: plant metagenome
Description: partial contains 5.8S ribosomal RNA, internal transcribed spacer 2, and large subunit ribosomal RNA
Rfam family: 5.8S ribosomal RNA (bases 1-105)
Source: RNAcentral
GAAAUGCGAUAAGUAAUGUGAAUUGCAGAAUUCAGUGAAUCAUCGAAUCUUUGAACGCACAUUGCACCCGCCAGUAUUCUGGCGGGCAUGCCUGUUCGAGCGUCAUUUCAACCAUCAAGCCCCCCGGCUUGUGUUGGGGACCUGCGGCUGCCGCAGGCCCUGAAAAGCAGUGGCGGGCUCGCUGUCACACCGAGCGUAGUAGCAUACAUCUCGCUCUGGGCGUGCUGCGGGUUCCGGCCGUUAAACCACCUUCGUAACCCAAGGUUGACCUCGGAUCAGGUAGGAAGACCCGCUGAACUUAAGC